RNAcentral lists this ribosomal RNA (119 nucleotides) under Pteropus alecto (black flying fox). Lineage: Eukaryota; Metazoa; Chordata; Mammalia; Chiroptera; Pteropodidae. The record is from RNAcentral.
GUCUACGGCCAUGCUACCCUGAACAGGCUGGAUCCCGUCUGAUUUUGGAAGCUAAGCAGGGUCGGGCCUGGUUAGUUCUUGGAUGGGAGACCACCUAGGAAGACUAGGUGCUGUAGGCG